UAUAGUAAUUUACUAUAUAAAGUCUUAGGGUAAUCAUCAAAAUAAGAUAUAAAGAUGAAGUUCACCUCGAUUCUACUCAUAGCUAACGCCUCAAUGUUGAGUUCGGCACAGGCUCGGGAUGCGGUCUAGGACUUACUACCCACGGAUGAAGAAAAUAGCGAACCCUGUGCAUGCUCAGGCACCAUGACCAUCUGGAGCUAUAUGAGGAAUAAGAAUGCAUGCACAUCCUGGGAAUAUGGCGGCUGCUCUCUUGAAGGCAAUAAGUUCGAAAACCAAGAUUGUUGUGAGAGAGCAUGUUUGUCGGGUUAAUUGGACUGAACCAUUAUGUAUUUAUAUUCAAAUAUAUUAUUCUACCGAAAAUUGGGUAUGAGAAAGUCAAAAGCCAA
Molecule: long non-coding RNA, 386 nt
Organism: Drosophila willistoni
Lineage: Eukaryota; Metazoa; Arthropoda; Insecta; Diptera; Drosophilidae
Exons: 2
Source: RefSeq, a predicted model, not a curated record